GACGAACGCUGGCGGCGUGCUUAACACAUGCAAGUCGAACGGAAAGGCCCUGCUUUUGUGGGGUGCUCGAGUGGCGAACGGGUGAGUAACACGUGAGUAACCUGCCCUUGACUUUGGGAUAACUUCAGGAAACUGGGGCUAAUACCGGAUAGGAGCUCCUGCUGCAUGGUGGGGGUUGGAAAGUUUCGGCGGUUGGGGAUGGACUCGCGGCUUAUCAGCUUGUUGGUGGGGUAGUGGCUUACCAAGGCUUUGACGGGUAGCCGGCCUGAGAGUGUGACCGGCCACAUUGGGACUGAGAUACGGCCCAGACUCCUGCGGGAGGCAGCAGUGGGGAAUAUUGCACAAUGGGCGGAAGCCUGAUGCAGCAACGCCGCGUGCGGGAUGACGGCCUUCGGGUUGUAAACCGCUUUCGCCUGUGACGAAGCGUGAGUGACGGUAAUGGGUAAAGAAGCACCGGCUAACUACGUG
Molecule: ribosomal RNA, 468 nt
Filed under: uncultured bacterium
Lineage: Bacteria
Description: partial 16S ribosomal RNA
Rfam family: Bacterial small subunit ribosomal RNA
Source: RNAcentral